This 793-nucleotide ribosomal RNA is filed under the name uncultured archaeon. RNAcentral describes it as "bacterial SSU rRNA". It matches the Rfam family "Archaeal small subunit ribosomal RNA", at positions 85 to 879 of the family's 1478-position model. The record is from RNAcentral.
ACUGCUCAGUAACACGUGGACAACCUGCCCUUAGGUUGGGUAUAAACCCGGGAAACUGGGUAUAAUACCCGAUAGGUCUCGAUUGCUGGAAUGCAUCGAGAUUUAAAGCUCCGGCGCCUAAGGAUGGGUCCGCGGCCUAUCAGGUAGUAGUGGGUGUAGCGUACCUACUAGCCUACGACGGGUACGGGUUGUGAGAGCAAGAGCCCGGAGAUGGAUUCUGAGACACGAAUCCAGGCCCUACGGGGUGCAGCAGGCGCGAAAACUUUACAAUGCUGGCAACAGCGAUAAGGGAACCUCGAGUGCCAGGUUACAAAUCUGGCUGUCGAGAUGCCUAAAAAGCAUUUCAUAGCAAGGGCCGGGCAAGACCGGUGCCAGCCGCCGCGGUAACACCGGCGGCUCGAGUGGUAACCGUUAUUAUUGGGUCUAAAGGGUCUGUAGCCGGCCGGAUAAGUCUCUUGAGAAAUCUGGCAGCUUAACUGUCAGGCUUUCAGGAGAUACUGUCUGGCUCGAGGCCGGGAGAGGUGAGAGGUACUUCAGGGGUAGGGGUGAAAUCUUGUAAUCCUUGAAGGACCACCAGUGGCGAAGGCGUCUCACCAGAACGGACCUGACGGCAAGGGACGAAAGCUAGGGGCACGAACCGGAUUAGAUACCCGGGUAGUCCUAGCCGUAAACGAUACUCGCUAGGUGUCGGCCACGGUGCGACCGUUGUCGGUGCCGUAGGGAAGCCGUGAAGCGAGCCACCUGGGAAGUACGGCCGCAAGGCUGAAACUUAAAGGAAUUGGCGGGGGAGCAC